Small nucleolar RNA from Camelus dromedarius (Arabian camel), 135 nucleotides. Its record names the gene SNORA70. It matches the Rfam family "Small nucleolar RNA SNORA70". From Rfam's summary of the family: snoRNA U70 seems to be exclusive to mammals and is a member of the H/ACA class of snoRNA which contain H (ANANNA) and ACA box motifs. H/ACA box snoRNAs are involved in the conversion of uridines to pseudouridines (5-ribosyluracil) a constituent of structural RNAs (transfer, ribosomal, small nuclear, and small nucleolar). Lineage: Eukaryota; Metazoa; Chordata; Mammalia; Artiodactyla; Camelidae. The record is from Ensembl.
CUGCAGUCAAUUAAGCCGACUGUGCUCUUUUCCUUGUGGGGCCCAGUGUGCAAUGGCUGCAAACAGUAUUCUCCUCGGUAGUGUAUGCAGCCUGUUUGCCUGUGUGGGUUGCCCUAAGGGACCUUGGAGACAGCC